GCAUUUUAGAAGCCAUGUUCUCUAGAUCACUCCUUGAAACAGCAUAAAGCUGAGUUGACUCGAAGCCAUCCUGUGCACUAGAAUACAGUUGUUGAAUUUCAUCUGACCGAAGAUCGCAUUUGAUGAAGAAAAAAGCAGUUGGUCUAACAUUCAAUAUUCUUCUGGAUAUACCAAUAAAGAUGGGGCUGGAGAGGGAAUCUGCAGGAGUUCCAAUUUCUUCAACAACUUCACGGACAAUGCUGUCAAACAUUUCCUGAGAAACUUUGCUGUUAAUCAUGUGACAUUGAUUUAGCUCUUGGAAGCCUUCAUGGGAGAUUAUUCCGACUUCUUGGGGCUCUGGAUGGCCUCCAGGAAAAACAAAAUAUCCAGGGAAUUCUCCAACGUUAUUACUUCUCUGAAGCACAAGUAUUCUUCUGUCAGAAGUCUCCACAACUGCACCAUUACCAAGAGGACUUGAUGUGUGCUGACACUGUAUACAAUCAUCUUUAGAUGGAACAAGAAAUCUUUCCCACAUAGGACUUAAAUUUGUUCCCACGAAUGUCCUGAUGAGAAUUUUUUUUCAAAUGUUAGAAGAUCAUUUUAUCCUCUAUUUUUCGCUCUUCCUCUAUACAAGUAAAUGCAUGGAUACAAGUAAAGUGUAGACGGCACAUGGCAGACAUUUACAAGUUCUCGUUUUUCAGAACCCGAGAUUUUAACAACACAUAUAAAGAACAUAAACAGUGGUACGGAAGAUGCCUCAUAUAGCUAUUGAUGAGCAAAUAUACAAUUGAAAUCAGGGAAAAUGACAAAUUAAAGGGGGAUUGAUAUGUAUGAAAACAAUUUGGCAGAACUUCGGAAAGUAAACCUAGAUUUUCAAGACAUGGAGCAUACAACACCAAAG
RNAcentral lists this unclassified non-coding RNA (880 nucleotides) under Hevea brasiliensis (rubber tree). Lineage: Eukaryota; Viridiplantae; Streptophyta; Magnoliopsida; Malpighiales; Euphorbiaceae. The record is from RNAcentral.